This 253-nucleotide ribosomal RNA is filed under the name uncultured bacterium. RNAcentral describes it as "partial 16S ribosomal RNA". It matches the Rfam family "Bacterial small subunit ribosomal RNA", at positions 524 to 776 of the family's 1533-position model. The record is from RNAcentral.
UACGUAGGGUGCGAGCGUUGUCCGGAAUUAUUGGGCGUAAAGAGCUCGUAGGCGGUUUGUCGCGUCUGCUGUGAAAACCCGAGGCUCAACCUCGGGCCUGCAGUGGGUACGGGCAGACUAGAGUGCGGUAGGGGAGAUUGGAAUUCCUGGUGUAGCGGUGGAAUGCGCAGAUAUCAGGAGGAACACCGGUGGCGAAGGCGGGUCUCUGGGCCAUAACUGACGCUGAGGAGCGAAAGCGUGGGGAGCGAACAGG